GGGUGAUUAGCUCAGUUGGUUAGAGCGCUUCUAUGACAUGGAAGAGGCCAGUGGUUCGAGUCCACUAUCACCCACCA
RNAcentral lists this transfer RNA (77 nucleotides) under Candidatus Altimarinota bacterium. RNAcentral describes it as "tRNA-Val". It matches the Rfam family "tRNA". Rfam says of the family: Transfer RNA (tRNA) molecules are approximately 80 nucleotides in length. Lineage: Bacteria; Candidatus Altimarinota. RNAcentral also lists the same sequence under 1 other name. The record is from RNAcentral.